ACGUGGGUAACCUGCCUGUAAGACUGGGAUAACUCCGGGAAACCGGAGCUAAUACCGGAUAGUUCCUUGAACCGCAUGGUUCAAGGAUGAAAGACGGUUUCGGCUGUCACUUACAGAUGGACCCGCGGCGCAUUAGCUAGUUGGUGAGGUAACGGCUCACCAAGGCGACGAUGCGUAGCCGACCUGAGAGGGUGAUCGGCCACACUGGGACUGAGACACGGCCCAGACUCCUACGGGAGGCAGCAGUAGGGAAUCUUCCGCAAUGGACGAAAGUCUGACGGAGCAACGCCGCGUGAGUGAUGAAGGUUUUCGGAUCGUAAAGCUCUGUUGUUAGGGAAGAACAAGUGCAAGAGUAACUGCUUGCACCUUGACGGUACCUAACCAGAAAGCCACGGCUAACUACGUGCCAGCAGCCGCGGUAAUACGUAGGUGGCAAGCGUUGUCCGGAAUUAUUGGGCGUAAAGGGCUCGCAGGCGGUUUCUUAAGUCUGAUGUGAAAGCCCCCGGCUCAACCGGGGAGGGUCAUUGGAAACUGGGAAACUUGAGUGCAGAAGAGGAGAGUGGAAUUCCACGUGUAGCGGUGAAAUGCGUAGAGAUGUGGAGGAACACCAGUGGCGAAGGCGACUCUCUGGUCUGUAACUGACGCUGAGGAGCGAAAGCGUGGGGAGCGAACAGGAUUAGAUACCCUGGUAGUCCACGCCGUAAACGAUGAGUGCUAAGUGUUAGGGGGGUUUCCGCCCCUUAGUGCUGCAGCUAACGCAUUAAGCACUCCGCCUGGGGAGUACGGUCGCAAGACUGAAACUCAAAGGAAUUGACGGGGGCCCGCACAAGCGGUGGAGCAUGUGGUUUAAUUCGAAGCAACGCGAAGAACCUUACCAGGUCUUGACAUCCUCUGACAACCCUAGAGAUAGGGCUUUCCCUUCGGGGACAGAGUGACAGGUGGUGCAUGGUUGUCGUCAGCUCGUGUCGUGAGAUGUUGGGUUAAGUCCCGCAACGAGCGCAACCCUUGAUCUUAGUUGCCAGCAUUCAGUUGGGCACUCUAAGGUGACUGCCGGUGACAAACCGGAGGAAGGUGGGGAUGACGUCAAAUCAUCAUGCCCCUUAUGACCUGGGCUACACACGUGCUACAAUGGACAGAACAAAGGGCUGCGAGACCGCAAGGUUUAGCCAAUCCCACAAAUCUGUUCUCAGUUCGGAUCGCAGUCUGCAACUCGACUGCGUGAAGCUGGAAUCGCUAGUAAUCGCGGAUCAGCAUGCCGCGGUGAAUACGUUCCC
This 1274-nucleotide ribosomal RNA is filed under the name Bacillus sp. E46(2012). RNAcentral describes it as "bacterial SSU rRNA". It matches the Rfam family "Bacterial small subunit ribosomal RNA", at positions 115 to 1375 of the family's 1533-position model. Lineage: Bacteria; Bacillati; Bacillota; Bacilli; Caryophanales; Bacillaceae. The record is from RNAcentral.